This 519-nucleotide ribosomal RNA is filed under the name Duttaphrynus brevirostris (Rao's pale brown toad). RNAcentral's name for it is "partial large subunit ribosomal RNA". It matches the Rfam family "Bacterial large subunit ribosomal RNA", at positions 1856 to 2579 of the family's 2925-position model. The record is from RNAcentral. Lineage: Eukaryota; Metazoa; Chordata; Amphibia; Anura; Bufonidae.
AGCCUGCCCAGUGACUCUGUUCAACGGCCGCGGUAUCCUAACCGUGCGAAGGUAGCGUAAUCACUUGUUCUUUAAAUGUGGACUAGUAUGAAUGGCAUCACGAAGGUUAUACUGUCUCCUUUUUCUAAUCAGUGAAACUAAUCUCCCCGUGAAGAAGCGAGGAUAAGAAUAUAAGACGAGAAGACCCUAUGGAGCUUUAAACAAAGUAGCACUCGCCACAUAAAUAAAAAUUCCAGAAUCAUUAUUUACCUUAAGCGACCUGACUAUGUGUUUUUGGUUGGGGUGACCGCGGAGCAUAAUACAACCUCCAUGUUGAAAGAAAAUUUUCUAAGCUGAGAACUACACCUCUAAGUAUCAAAAAAUUGACAUCCAUUGACCCAAUAAAUUUGAACAACGAACCAAGUUACCCUAGGGAUAACAGCGCAAUCCACUUCAAGAGCUCCUAUCGACAAGUGGGUUUACGACCUCGAUGUUGGAUCAGGGUCUCCCAGUGGUGCAGCCCUACUAAAGGUUCGUUUG